Molecule: long non-coding RNA, 14008 nt
Filed under: Sorghum bicolor (sorghum)
Lineage: Eukaryota; Viridiplantae; Streptophyta; Magnoliopsida; Poales; Poaceae
Description: long non-coding RNA (SBIC_LNC016065)
Source: RNAcentral
CGAUCUCAGGCUCCUCGAAGCUUCUCGACUAGUAGAUGGGAUCUUGUGCCAAUCUGAUCAAGUCGUGCCGACGGACUCCUUUGACUCCUGCCGGCCAACUCGUGUCGCCACACACGAACGGCUGGGAACGUCUCUACCAAUAACUUCCACCCCCACGGUGCGGUCUGUUGAACUCAGGGCAGACCCAGACUAGAGUCCUCCCUUUGGGCUAAACAACUCGGCUGUUCACUACUCACGGCACAUCUAAUCCCUUUUCAAUAGGGCGGGAUGGUCGCCGAGACAGAGCAGUCGACCAGCUCGCCAUCACGUCAACAUGGUGUCAAUCCAAGUACUGCCGAACGAUCAGACCACCAGCACAAACUCCAGCAUAGGUUCUGUCCCUACCGAGGUUAUAAACUCCGAGGACGAAGAUUACGACCUAGAUUUGCCACCAUAUCCCUCGGGUUUUUCUCGCUUUCCAGUCUUUCCACCCCGGCGGGGAGAUCUUAUCUUCAAUGUCAGCAAUGACGAACCAGUCGUCGAUGGAGAGACAGACGAACAGAAGCCGCUCCGUGAAUAGCACAAUGCCGACCGCGCCCGACGGCGCGCGGAUGAGGAACGACAAUUUGCACCGCAUAACCUCAGCGACGCUUUCGACAUGGUCGGAGAUCAGCAAGUCUACAAAACGCCAAGUGCUAAUGUGGCUGUCGCUAUGGCAAACCUGGACCGACUCCCUAAUACUCCUGAGUGCCAGGGUGUCGGAUCUAGCCUACGCGCACACCUGAUCGCCGCGAUGGGACAGACAGCCACCUUACUCAAAAAGGUCCAAGCUGUCUCCUACGCAGAGGUCUCUUCCGACCAGACUCAUCGCAGCCGGACUUCACCACAACUCAGCGAGCACCACCGCAGCCGCUCCCCCAAUAAUCGCAGGAAGGAUGCAGGGCGUGGCAACGGUGGUCGGGACGCCGGCGGCUACCGCGAGCAGAAGCGAGGGCAUGGUCAGGAAGUAAACCAGGACAGGGAUCUACGAUACAACAUCCCUCCCAAGGACGCCCGGGACCGCAUCAACAGGCGCGCCACGAAAAGGCCGGUGCACGACAACUUGCGGCGCAUUGAGUACGAUGCCGCGCACGGCCCCUGGCCUGAGACAGUUUUCCUCGCACCUUCGCCAAGUCGUAUGGCCCCGCAACUUUAAACUCGAGAAUCUUAAAAAAUACGACAGCAAGGAAAACCCAGAAAACUGGAUCGCUCUCUACGAGAUUGCAGUCCGUUCAACAGCAGGAGAUGAGCACGUCAUGGCUAACUACUUCCCAGUUGUCCUCGACCAGGCUGGUCAUCAAUGGCUCCUUGGCCUGCCCGAGGACUCCUUCGACUCCUGGGAAGAACUGCGCCAGGCGUUUAUCGACAAUUUUAUCGCUACCUGCGAGCAGCCUGGGAACAAGUAUGACCUCAAGAGGAUAAGGGAUAGGAAAACGAGCCUCGCGUGAUUGCAUCCGACGAUUCUCGGAUAUGCGUCUUAAAAUCCCGAAAAUUUCUCACGACGAGGCCAUAUCUGCUUUCAUCAAAGGGCUACGCUUCCAUGAAGCACUGAGGAACAAGCUACUGCGCAAAAGGCCGACCACGAUGGCUGAGCUCCUUGCCACAGCAAAAAACUACACCGACGCUAAUGACGCAGAAAAGCUCAUCCGAGAGGAUGCGAGAGGUCCCGACCAGCCCCCUCGACAGGACGACAGUCAUGGUCGUUUUGACAACAGGAACCAUCAUCGCCCUGACAACCGCGACCACAGAGAAGGUUGGGAUAGGCGGCGUGACAAUCGUGAUGACUUCAGGGGCAAGUGCCCUCGCGACCACGAUCACGAGGUGAAUACGGUCAAGCGCCCUAAUGGGCGGCGGGACUACCAGGAAGACUACAAAAAGACGUUGAAGGGAUCGUGCCAACUCCACCCCAAGUCCAAUCACACGAUGGAAGAAUGUCGUGUCCUCAAAAGCAUCUACACACGGCGGGCUGCUCAAGACGAUCCUGCCAAGAACAACGGGAAGCAGGACUGGCGCGGUCACGAAGACGAAGACGACGAGCAGCAUAUAGGGACCCACGACACCAGUAUGUUAAUCCUACUGACGUGGUCCACUCCAUCUUCGGAGGCAAAGUUUCCAUCGAGUCUAAGCGAGGAAGAAAGCUCCUGAAGAGAGCCUGCCUCAACGUGGACAGCACAGACGGUCUGAUCGCCGAUCCGAAAUUCCCUCCCUGGUCGCACAGGGAGAUCUCCUUCAGCAGAAGGACCAAUGGGCUUCCAUCCCGGAGCCAGGACGUUUCCCUCUAAUCCUAGAUCCUUACAUCAACAGCAUUAGGUUCGAGCGCGUGCUUGUUGACGGGGAAAGCUCCAUCGACAUCCUCUUUCGCAACAGUUUGCGUGCUCUCAAGAUAACCCCGGCACAACUAAAACCAUAUGACGCACAAUUCUGGGGAGUCUUGCUAGGUCAAAGUUCAGUACCCCUCGGACAGAUAACACUGCCUGUCCAGUUUGGAACGCCCGACCACUUUCGAACAGAGUUUGUCAACUUUGUGGUCACCGACUUUGAUGGCACUUACCAUGCAAUACUGGGCCGACCAUCGCUGACAAAGUUCAUGGCAAUUCCACACUACUCAUACCUGGUCCUCAAAAUGCCAACAGAGAAGGGCGUCCUAACUGUCAGAGGCAAUGUCUAUACCGCAUACACUUGCGAAGAGGAGAGCUUCAAGAUUACCGAGGCAAUUGACCUCUCAAUCCGCAUGGCAGAAACCGUAGCCCAAGCCGCGCAGCUCCCACCUGACCAGCUUCGACUACCCGAGCAGGAGACUGCGAGGAAAAAUUCAAAGUCCAAAGAGCACAAGGAGGUACAGCUGGUCGACGGCAGCCCCGAAAAGACGGCCCUCAUCGGGGCCAACCUGGACCCUAAAUAGGAAGACGCGCUCGUCAGGUUUCUAAGGGACAACGUGAGCGUUUUCGCAUGGAAACCCGCAGACAUGCCCGGCGUCCCACGAAACCUGAUCGAGCACUCCUUAAACGUCUCGAAGACCGCAAGACCCAUCAAGCAAAAGCUACGACGGUUCCCUCGUGACAAAAAGGAGGCUAUUAGGACAGAAAUAACACGGCUUCUAGCAGCCGGAUUUAUUAAAGAAGUGUAUCAUCCCGAUUGGCUUGCCAAUCUGGUUCUUGUAAGAAAAAAGAACAAUGAACGGAGAAUGUGCGUUGAUUACAAUGAUCUCAAUAAACACUGUCCUAAAGAUCCUUUUGGUCUCCCUCGCAUCGACAAGGUAGUCGACUCAAUGGCCGGAUGCGAACUCCUCUCCUUUCUAGACUGCUACUCUGGUUAUCACCAGAUCUCACUAAAGGAAGACUACCAGAUCAAAACAUCUUUUAUCACUCCUUUCGGUGCGUAUUGCUACACGACCAUGUCCUUCGGACUCAAAAACACUGGAGCCACUUAUCAACGGGCUAUUCAGCAAUGCCUCCACGAUGAGAUUCGUGAUGACCUCGUCGAGGCCUAUGUAGACGACGUCGUCGUCAAAACAAGGGAUGCGAGCACUCUAAUUGACAACCUAGACCGAACCUUUAAGGCCUUAAAUAAAUACAAGUGGAAGCUUAACCCCAAAAAGUGUAUCUUUGGGGUCCCCUCUGGUCUACUACUCGGUAACGUCGUCAGCCGCGACGGCAUACGACCGAAUCCCUCAAAAGUAAAAGCAGUGUUGGACAUGCGACCACCCAAGAAUGUCAAGGAUAUUCAAAAACUCACCGGUUGUAUGGCUGCUCUCAGCCGUUUUAUUUCUAGACUGGGAGAACAAGGCCUUCCCUUCUUCAAACUUCUAAAAGCAUCGGAAAAAUUCUCCUGGACAGAGGAAGCUGACACUGCGUUGACCCAGCUCAAAACUUUCCUCACCUCACCACCCGUUCUCACAGCACCUCAGCCCAACGAAGAUCUGCUCCUUUACAUAGCAGCAACCGAUAGGGUUGUCUCCACGGCAAUGGUGGUCGAGCGAGACGAGCCAGGCCACGUAUACAAAGUCCAGAGACCCAUUUAUUUCAUAAGCGAAGUCUUAAAUGAGUCCAAGACCAUGUACCCUCAGAUAUAGAAGCUCAUCUACGCCAUCUUAAUAACUUCAAGGAAGCUAAAGCAUUACUUUGACGGUCAUCGGGUCCUGGUAACCACCAGUUUCCCUCUGGGGGACAUUUUGUUCAACAAGGAUGCCAACGGCAGAAUUGUAAAAUGGGCAAUGGAAUUAUGCCCAUUCUCCCUGGAUUUCCAGAGUCGCACUACCGUCAAGUCUCAGGCCCUGGUCGAUUUCAUCGCAGAAUGGACGGACCUCAACGAGCCCUCCGUUUCGAACACUCCCAACCACUGGUCGAUGUUCUUCAACGGAUCCCUAAACAUCAAUGGCGCCGGCGUCGGGAUACUCUUCGUGUCGCCCAACAAGGACAACCUACGCUACGUCCUUAGGAUUCUCUUUCCGGCGUCGAACAACGUCGCUGAAUACGAAGCAUGCCUACAUGGCAUACGACUGGCUGUCGAACUGGGAGUUAAACGCCUCUACAUCCACGGCGACUCUGCCCUAGUCAUCAACCAGCUAAACAAAGAAUGGGACACAACCCACGAAAAGAUGGAUCUCUACUGUAAAGAAAUCCGCAAAUGGGAAUCCCAUUCCUACGGCAUAGAAUACAUCAACAUGGUCCGAGAUAAGAACCAGGCAGCAGAUGCGCUGACAAAGUUAGGAUCAUCUCGGGCCCAGAUUCCGCAAGGCGUUUUUGUUCAGGACAUCCAUGCGCCAAGUAUGGGUACAGACCUGGUCGAAAAGCAACCCAAUGAGGCAAUGCUCAUAGACGACACCACUCCAGCAACCAGCAGCCAUGAUUGGCGCGCCCCCUUCAUCAGGUAUAUAUCGGAUGGAUCGGGUUUUCAAGAUAAAACGGAGAACGAGCGCCUCAUUCGGCGGUCCAAGAAUUACAUACUAGUGGAUGGCAAACUUAUGCGAAAGAACGCAAGUUCUAAAGUGCUGCUCAAAUGCAUAUCUCAAGAUGACGGCGUCAAGCUUUUAGACGACAUACACGCUGGGUCCUGCGGCAACCACGCGGCCUCCAGAACACUGGUCAGGAAAGCCUUCCGAGCAGGUUUUUACUGGCCAACUGCGGUCGCUGACGCCGAGAAACUGGUCCGACAUUGUGAAGGAUGCCAGUUCUUUGUCAAGAGGACCCACGUGCCUGCUCACAAAAUUCAAAACUAUUCCGUCGUCUUGGCCUUUUGCCUACUGGGGUCUCGACAUGAUUGGCCCAUUUAAGCCGGCUCCCAGCAACUUCAAGUUCGUCUUCGUACUAAUCGACAAAUUCUUGAAAUGGAUCGAGUACAUGCCACUGGUCAAGGCAACCUCCGAGAAGGCUGUGGAAUCACUGACCUGGGCACUCAGUUCACUGGCACUACAUUCUGGGAUUUCUAUGACGACAGGGGCAUAGUCAUAAAGUAUGUGUCAGUAGCUCACCCACGGGCCAACGGCCAAGCAGAGCGAGCGAAUGGAAUGAUUAUCGAUGCUCUAAAGAAAAGGCUGUACACCGAGAACGACAGAGCACUAGGACGAUGGAUGAAAGAAUUACCGGCUGUGGUCUCGGGUCUCCGAACUCAGACUAGUCGCAACACGGGUGUAUCACCCUACUUCAUGGUUUACGGCACCAAGGCAGUUCUUCCGUCUGACAUAACCUUUGGAUCUCCAAGAGUCGAAAAUUUUGACCAAUCUUCGGCUGACAUCGCCAGGGAGCUUGAAAUCAACUGCAUGGAAGAAAUGCGCCUGAUCUCAUGCCUUCGAACAGCAAAGUAUCUUUUGGCCAUUAGGCGGUAUCACAACAAGAACGUCAAAGACCGUUCCUUCGUGGUAGGUUAUCUAGUACUCAAGUGGAAAACAAGCCAAGAAGGAACGGACAAGCUAUCCACACCUUGGGAAGGACCCUUCGUGGUCGCCGAAGUCACACGCCCUACAUCUUACAGACUGGCGUAUCCAGAUGAAACUCGCCUGCCUAAUUGUUGGCACAUAGACAAACUACGCCGUUUCUAUCCAUAAGUUCCAGUAUAUUUUGUUUGUAAAACUCUUAUGAUCAGCAGUAAUAAAAUUUUUUCUUUCUUGCUAUGUACUCCUUUUAUAUGCAGAGCUUUCGACAAGUACAACAAUCUCCCUCUAGGACCAAGAUCCUUAAGGAUUAUUAACCCAACUCAGUGAUACAUCACUCAGACAACAUUGCAGCGCUCACAACCAUGGUUAUGAAAAAUCAAUCUUUAUUACAAACUUUACACACAAAGUUUACAAUAAACACCCCUCUGGGCGGUCCCUAGUCUAUUCCUACAGACUACUCUACAGGCCUACUGCUCGGGCUGAUCACCCGCUCGGCCUUGCUGCCCAGUCGAAGGGGUCGGGGCCACCGGCGCCUGGCUGGUCGAGACCGCAGGCGUCGACCACCCAUCUCCGGCAAUGGACGCUCCCGACAACUCCCUGGCCGACCUAUCUGACCCUGGCUGGUCGGGGGGAGUUGCCGUCCCACAGAGGUUGAUGUCGCCGAUCACUGUCGACGAUAGGUCAAGCAGACCAACACGAAGGUCGUCUGCCUCCUGUGGACCAACCUCCUUGGGGUACCCCCUCUCCAGUCGGGACAGGUCGACCAGAGGAUAGUGGGCGUACACCAUGUUGAGGACGUGCGCACCGGCGAAUUCCCCGGCGUCCUUGACAAACUGCUGGAGCCAGUCCCACACCCGUUGCGCCUUCUCAACCGGAGUCAACUUCGGCGCGCGGGGCUGGUCUUCAGGGAGCUCGGGGCUGAUCAAAUCGAGAACCGGGCCACUCCUUUCCAAAGCUUGAUGCAGUUGGCCUUCUAGGAGUCCCGGUCCUUGAUCAGCUCGUCGAAGUGCUUCUUGGUAUUUACCUUGAGCACUAUAAACCAAGCAGGAGGUCAGUAUACAAACAAGAAACGUAAUGUUGAGCAAUCACAGAAAAAAGGGAUAGAACGAUUCUCACCAGACAACUCUAGACUCUUGCUGCUUAGCUCCUUGCCAGCUCGGCGCCCGGUCUCCAGCGCCACGGCAAGCUCCUGGUCGAGCCUCUCCUUCUCUUGUCGGAGGUGUGCAACCUCCUCCUCUAAGUCUGUAGGGGCAAUUUAUGAUAAAAAAACAACUACGCAGUUAUAUACAACUGCUCGGAAUACAUGACUAACCCUUUCUUUCCUGAUCCUUGUCGGCUAAUCGCCGAUUGAGAUCGAGCAAGCGCUCUUCCUGAGCACCCAUCUCGGGCGUCUUCUCCUCGGCCUCCGACCAAAGACGGUCUACUUCCGUGGCCAGGGUCUUAUUCUCGGCCACGAUUCCUUCAAUCUGGUCGAAGCACCUCUUCGGGUACUUCGUCGUUUUCAUUGCGCCCUGCAGGAAGCACGUAUAUUGAAGUUAGAGACGGCGCAUAUAAAUUUCGAGCAGCGCAAAAGACCACUUACCUUAACCUCGACAACAAGCCGCUUAGCUGCGCGCUCCACCCUUGCGGCCUCCUUCAUCUCCGCGAGUUCUUCAUGGCCAAUGAAAUGGUCCCCGCGUUGGCGCCACACGUAAACGUGCUGGUGACCAUCUUGGGGACGACCUUGGAUUUCCUCCACUUCAUCGUCGGAGGCCGUCCGGGUCUCCUCGCCCUGCGCACUACCCCCAGCCAUGGUCGCAGGCAUCACUAGACCCUGGUCCAGGCUAGGGGAGUCCUUUGGUGAAGAGUCCUCUUCUCGGGGCGGGGUUUGGACUCUCCCUUCUUCAGCAGGUGGGGGAGUCAGAGCUCUGUCUUCCUCCUCCGCAACACUGCUCGGGGGAGGCGUCCUCACAGACUCUCCAUCCCUCGUAGGGGUGCCCGCUCUGGUCCUUGCCGGAGCUGGGUGCUCCUCGGCAGUCUCAGCCACGGUCACCACUGUGGGCUGCUCCUCGGCAUGCUCCUGGGUGGUCUGCGGCGCGGCAUCUUCAACAACAACCACGGGCUCAGCUGUCCUCCGGCCAGCAGUGCUGUCAGGGUCAACGUCCGAUGCCGCGCUAACGAAGAAUGCGACAUUUAAUCAAUGUCAAAAGUAGCAGCAACAAAACAAAAAUAGGAGGAAGCGUAAAAGUGAGAUUGAACAACUUACAGAUCGGAGCGCCUGUGUGUCGCUGUGAAGAACCUUCUCCUGGUCCUACCAGUCGCCGCCGCUGUCCCUGUCUCUCCAACACGCGUUGGCUCGGCGUGUGGGGCAGGAGGGUCGCUAGUCAUCCGAUCAGUAGUCGCCGGUGCAACGUCUGGACGACUACGUGACCUUCGGACCAAAGAGGGCGCGGCCUCCUCUUCCUCGUCGUCGUCGUCGGCAAUCCUGAUGAGCCGACAAUGCUUUGGAGCUUGGCUGCUCUCCGCUGCCAGCGCCUCCGCGGGGGACGGAUCCACAGCUAGUGGUCUUUUCCCAGCUACUCUGUCCUCGGUGGUCGGGGCGGGGCGGUUCUGCUCCUCCUCACUGCUGGUGUACAUAAGACACCGAGCAGCAUCGCCCUCCGGCAGGUCCACCCCCGCAGGAUUUUCCAUACCAGGUGCCAGUGACACGUACACUGCGCACCGGUCGAUGUCUCCAAUCUACAGUAGAACCAUCGACAAGUCAUCAACUUGGAGGACAAGUACUCAAAGAGCAAUACUAGUUAAUAACAUUAUUUAUUUACCUGGGAGCUGGUCGUCCCAGCUUGAAGGCGUGCAUCCGAUCACUGCUUCGAACGAAGUUGUCGUCCGUAAAGUUGAACAACUCGUUCAUCAGCUGCUGCACCUCCGCCUUCUCCAGACCAUCAGGGCUCACUCUGGUCGGGUCUUGGCUCCCCGCGUAUUCGUACGUCGAGUGUACCCUCCUCUGGCAGGGCAUCACCCGACGCACAAUAAAGUUACCGACCACUCCUGGCCCGUCUAAGCGGGACGAGUCAAUCAGUUUCAUCAGGUCUGCUACUUGACCAGUGAAAUCCGGGCGGUCCGUCUAGCUAACCCUCUUCUCGGAGAUGUAGCCCACAUCACAGAACGUGGAGCUGCCCGGCUCUUCCCUGAUAAAGAACCACUUCUUGUACCAUUCGGUGAGAGAAGUGUUCUACGGGCAGUUGAGGUACCGAUUCUUCAUCCCAUCACACAGAUUGAGGUAUACUCCACCUACAAUCUUGGAGCCUCCAACUGCUCCCUUCUUCCUCAGACAAAAAAGGUAGUGAAAAAGGUUGAAGUGCGGCUCUAUUCCAACAUAGGCCUCGCAGAGAUGAAUAAAGGUGGAGAUAAGAAGAAUUGAGUUCGGGUGCAGAUUGCAGAUCCCGAUCUCAUAGUAAAGAAGAAGGCCCUGGAGGAAAGGGUGGACAGGAAUCCCAAAGCCCCUCUUGAAAAAAUCUUCAAAGACUACGAUCUCACCAGCACGGGGGUCGGGGUAGCUUUCCCCUUCCGGCGCCCUCCAGCCGCCAAGCUCUUGGUAGUGAAGUAGCCCCAUUCCGACGAGGUCGUUGAGGGACCUCAUGCUGCUCCAGGACUUCUUCCACUCCUUCGCCAUCAGUUCACCCCUUUUCUUCGAGUCACUCUUCGCCAUUGACGCUGCAGAAGCGAUUGCGAGCUAGACGAUAAAGGAUGGAGGUUGCAGAAGGCAGGAAUGGCAAGAACAGAAGGCUUGAAGGCAAAGGCAGGGUAAAAAAUUACAGGCGUGGUGUUGAGUCUUUAUAGGCAACGGCUCCACCUCUUCCACUUCUCGCAUUCUUGGGAAGUGGGUGGGCCCAGCGGCGGAUGCGGCGUUUCGGUUUUCAAUACUUACCUGCAGUUAAUGUGGUGGUUUUUCUGUAUAAUUGAUGGCUUCCUUUUCUUGAACCACGCAAAGAGCGGCUGCACAGUUACCCGGCGCACCUUUUCAUGCAACCGUCUGACAAUACGUCAGGGUGUCUUGUCACAUCACUUUUUAAUGUGGCAGGAUACUUUUUCCAAGAGACAAAUACAAUUGGUGGAGGAUUAUGCGUAACAUACCUGGGGACUGUACCGACCACCGAGCACAGUAUGCUCGGGGACUGGUCGACCAGCCCACCAAUUUGAAGUCCUAGGACUAUACCAACCACCGAGCACAGUAUGCUCGGGGACUGGUCAACCAGCCCACCAAUCUGAAGUCCUAGAGACUGUACCGACUACCGAGCACAGUAUGCUCGGGGACUGGUCGACCAGCCCACAUAUUUGAAGAGUUAGGGGACUGGUCGAUUAGUUUAUUUGCAGACGUACCUAAUAUGCUCAGGGACUGGUAAAUUCAAUUUUUAGACCUUGCUACAAGGCUCAUACUUCGCCUUCGAGCAAGCUCGAGGACUACAUCGGUACGAUGCAUCUGGCGAUGCAUCACAGUUUUGAAAUUUCUAUGAAGACUUUUUUGACCCUGGCACCACGUGUCUACGCCACCUACUACCAGGCUCGGGGACUAAGUGGGCACACUUCACCUUGCGGUGAAUAUGCUUGCUCUUUUGAGGUCUAUACUUUUCGGAAAAGUAAAGUGGGCAUACUUCACCAGGAAAGAAAUCUUUUUUAAUUUAGAGCACCAUACAUUCUUCGAACAACCUGCUUCUUCAAUGUCAAUGUUGAUCAACUGUCUUUUGAGUUGGUCAAAAUACCGUUGCAACUGUUUGGGCGAUUUUUCUGCUUUUUGAAGACGUCAAGCCUCACUGAUCGAAGAAGCUCAAGAUGGAGUGUUACAUCAUAAUACAUGGUGCUCGGGGACUAGCUGUGGGGGUAUAAACCCCUAUACCCUUACGACUAGACUUAGGCCAGGAGGCUUCGCCCAUCACGAAGACAGUCCGAGGCUUGAUCCAACUGCUCGGAGUUUCGCGCAAGGAAAUAGGACGUGGAGAUAAAGCCGGAUUCUAGUCGGUUAGAAUAGGAUUUGAUAUCAUGCUAUCUAUGGCAAUUGUAACCGACUAGGAAUAGUUUCCAGAUCUGUAACCCUGCCCUCUGGACUAUAUAAGGAGAGGCAAGGGACCCCCCUAGGACUCAUUAUUCUCUCAACACAAUCCAAUACAGUCAGACGCAGGACAUAGGUAUUACGCCCACAAGGCGGCCGAACCUGGAUAAAAACCUUGUUUGUGUCUUGCGUCACCAUCGAAAUCGUAGCUUGCGCACCGUCUGCAGAUAAACUACUACCGUAGGUAUACCCCAAGGUAGACUGCCGACUAGCUUUCGUCGACAGGUAGUUAUCCAUAUUUAUCCUUUCUGCAUUUUUUUUCUUAAAUUAUUUACUUUCCUUAAAUAUCUUGUUAUUUAAUCAUGCCAUCUUGAAAAGAAAAUAAAAAUAUUAAAAACAGUAAGCCCCAUGUGAGUAUGCUCGUGGCAUAAAACCCAUUCACUGUGGUGGCGUAAAAAUAAAAUAAAUAUAUUCUUGUCCUAUAAAAAUGAAAAUAUAAAAAUAAAUUUAUGAUCCUACUAAAGAGAGUAAUAUUUAUUAGAGGAAGCUCAACAUGAUAAAGGCUAAGAGAUUUUAUGCUAACACUUAACCAGUUCCACAAAGCUUUGUUGUCUAUUUGAGCUCCACAGAAUUCAAGGAUCAAGGAAGACUAGCAAACGGAGGAUAUCCUAAUCGCUAUCAGGGUGCUGCCAACAUUCAAAUACACCUACGCCACCUGCUAGCUACAUUAGAAGAAAUUACGUUAAAAUCCAGCUUGGGGGAGAGCACCCCUAUUUAUCCAGCUAAGUGUUUCUACUCAUAUUUAUACUUUACUCGAAUAAUAAAAAAAUGCAUAAUCAUAAAAACCCAAUUAAACAUUUUGUGCUUAUAUAUAUCUUUGCUUAGUUUGCUAAAUAAAUAAAUAAAGUGUCUAUGCCAAACUGAACUUCAAUGAUAAACUCUUACAUGGAUAAGAUGAAUAGUUGCUCUGCCAAGUACCUAGUUUUCAAAUUUGAGCUCUCUCUCAAGUUUAGACAUAACUGUUAUAAUUUAAAGCUUGCUCUAAACCUGAAUUUGUGGGAAGAGUACCUGAUCAAAAGUCUAAGUCGUUAACAGAUAUUAUAUGGGAAGGUUAAGCUGCUGUUUAUCUGUUCCUAGAGAUGCUAGAAUUCUAGAGAAUUUUAUCUUUAAAAAUCUUUAAAAUAUUUCAUGAUGAGUUCCUGUAUGAUGAGAGUUUAAAAUCCUACCACAACCAUAUAUACAAGCUUAUUAGACUAUGAACCAUACAUUUACUUUUUACUGCUUAUGAGCAUUGAGUGUGGUCAAGCUGUGUAGACCCUUAGGAGCUUGUCAUGCGGUUAAAAUCAAGAUUCACUUGCACGUUCACUCAUACAUGCUGCUUCUACUCUAGAAGUACGCAUCCACAUACAUUCACUCAUUUCCAUAUCCAGAUUCACCUAAAGUUAUUCUACUCCUAUCUAGGAGAGAAUAGCCAAAAAACAUUAUCCUAUCCCUGUUAUUCCCCGUGAAAUAAAUGCUCGAGAUAUUUUGGUUACUACCACUUGCUACAUUAUUCUAGGAGGGUGAGUGCUCUGAAAAAAAGUGAAUACGAGGAAAUAAAAAGGAGCAAGUGCCCGAAACCUCAAAAAAAAGAAGAAGAAAAAAGAAAAAGUGAGACGAGAGGUAAAAAUGGACAAGUGUCUGACAGUAGAAUUAGGGGUACAAGAUACCCACCUGAGAGAAAAGAAAAAUAAAAUAUAGAGCGUCUCAUUCCCCUCAAAAGCCAAACUGCAAGAAAGGUAUGUUCCUCCUCAAAAGAGCAAUAAUAGAAUUAGACUUUCACCAUUUUUUCACCAUUAUCACCAUUCAUUCGCCACACAUGCACAUUUUGAUUGGACUUAUUGACUUGUUCUUCUGGAUCCAUGGUUUGACUAUACAAUAAGUGUCUUGUAAGUAUGUAUUAGCUGUCUCCCACCUAUGAUCUCCAGAUAUCAAAACCUUAUUAGAGUAGGGUGAGAAAGAAGGCAAUACCACUAUGCCUCAUACCAAAAAUACCACAUACUUUGAGAGAAGGCAUACACCAUUACUGCCUUGGUAAGGAUCUAGAAAUACCACAAAAAAGAGACUAGAGAGAGUCAUACAAGGAAUCUCUGAGUUUUAUUUAAAUAUUGCAAAAACUCCAGAGCUAUAGUUAAUCGAAGAACAAGAGACAUGGCGCUUGACUAGACCGUUCUAUCUUUUAACUACUCAAAACAUAAAUGACGGUUGCAAGCCUCAUCGUGGAAGGUAAAAUGAGUAAGUUUAAAUCUUAACAGUUUACCCUAACCCAGAGAUGAGAUCUUAUUUGAACGCAUGUGUACCUUUAAGGCAUGAAACCACUGCAGAAACUCUUAAUUCCAUCUUUGCUCAGGGACGAGCAAAGGUUAAGCUUGGGGGAACUUGUUGACGGUCCUUAAUGCUCACAUUUAACAGUCAACUAAUCAUGAAAAAGGAUCCAAAUGCAACCGACACCUAGACUUAGGUUUUCUUCUGACAGAUUUCCACGAGUUUUGGUGUUUGUCUAUUUCUGUAGGGGGUUAUCCGGAAAUACGAAGGAAAAGCCCACAUGUCGGGUUUACAUAGAGAAUUAAUGUGUGCGGUAAUUUUCCAUAAUCAGGAAUUCUCUAGAAGCAACUCGACCGAAGCGGAGCCGAGACGGGCCUAGGGCCGGGGCGCCUGCCCUGGUACAAGCACCAAUUACAGAAUUGAGUACACCAUUACAAAGAUCUCGUCGAGCUGAUUGAAAUGCAUAUAUUAUUUGCUAUAUUUGGACUUCGGAAUCAAGAGAUAUUAAUAAAAGAAGGACUCCACAUAAAAGAGCUGCGGGAUUAAUUGGGCCCAAAUCAGACUUUGGUCCAUUAAGGCCUAUGUGCAUUUUAAUGAGAUAUGGUAGAAAGUUUAGUACUAGAUCGCCUGCUGAACCAAAAAGGCACAAAGGAGGAGGCUAUAUAAGCAAGGCCCCUGACCCCUGGAGGAGAACACAUCAUUAUAGUGUUGAGAGGUGCCCUCGAAGGAUAACCUUUCCUCUAUAGAGAAUUAGGGCUAGAUAUUCCAAUGUAGUAGAUUAGUUCUAG